Molecule: ribosomal RNA, 1429 nt
Filed under: uncultured organism
Description: 16S ribosomal RNA
Rfam family: Bacterial small subunit ribosomal RNA
Source: RNAcentral
GAUGAACGCUAGCUACAGGCUUAACACAUGCAAGUCGAGGGGCAGCAUCAUCAAAGCUUGCUUUGAUGGAUGGCGACCGGCGCACGGGUGAGUAACACGUAUCCAACCUGCCGACAACACUGGGAUAGCCUUUCGAAAGAAAGAUUAAUACCGGAUGGCAUAAUUAUUCCGCAUGGGAUAAUUAUUAAAGAAUUUCGGUUGUCGAUGGGGAUGCGUUCCAUUAGGCAGUUGGCGGGGUAACGGCCCACCAAACCUACGAUGGAUAGGGGUUCUGAGAGGAAGGUCCCCCACAUUGGAACUGAGACACGGUCCAAACUCCUACGGGAGGCAGCAGUGAGGAAUAUUGGUCAAUGGACGAGAGUCUGAACCAGCCAAGUAGCGUGAAGGAUGACUGCCCUAUGGGUUGUAAACUUCUUUUAUACGGGAAUAAAGUGAGCCACGUGUGGCUUUUUGUAUGUACCGUAUGAAUAAGGAUCGGCUAACUCCGUGCCAGCAGCCGCGGUAAUACGGAGGAUCCGAGCGUUAUCCGGAUUUAUUGGGUUUAAAGGGAGCGUAGGCGGGUUGUUAAGUCAGUUGUGAAAGUUUGCGGCUCAACCGUAAAAUUGCAGUUGAUACUGGCGACCUUGAGUGCAACAGAGGUAGGCGGAAUUCGUGGUGUAGCGGUGAAAUGCUUAGAUAUCACGAAGAACUCCGAUUGCGAAGGCAGCUUACUGGAUUGUAACUGACGCUGAUGCUCGAAAGUGUGGGUAUCAAACAGGAUUAGAUACCCUGGUAGUCCACACAGUAAACGAUGAAUACUCGCUGUUGGCGAUAUACAGUCAGCGGCCAAGCGAAAGCAUUAAGUAUUCCACCUGGGGAGUACGCCGGCAACGGUGAAACUCAAAGGAAUUGACGGGGGCCCGCACAAGCGGAGGAACAUGUGGUUUAAUUCGAUGAUACGCGAGGAACCUUACCCGGGCUUAAAUUGCAACUGACGGAACCGGAAACGGUUCUUUCUUCGGACAGUUGUGAAGGUGCUGCAUGGUUGUCGUCAGCUCGUGCCGUGAGGUGUCGGCUUAAGUGCCAUAACGAGCGCAACCCUUACGGGUAGUUACCAUCAGGUUAUGCUGGGGACUCUACCCGGACUGCCGUCGUAAGAUGUGAGGAAGGUGGGGAUGACGUCAAAUCAGCACGGCCCUUACGUCCGGGGCUACACACGUGUUACAAUGGGGGGUACAGAAGGCAGCUACACGGCGACGUGGUGCUAAUCCCAAAAGCCUCUCUCAGUUCGGAUUGGAGUCUGCAACCCGACUCCAUGAAGCUGGAUUCGCUAGUAAUCGCGCAUCAGCCACGGCGCGGUGAAUACGUUCCCGGGCCUUGUACACACCGCCCGUCAAGCCAUGAAAGCCGGGGGUACCUGAAGUACGUAACCGCGAGGAGCGUCCUAGGG